This 555-nucleotide ribosomal RNA is filed under the name uncultured bacterium. Its description in RNAcentral is "partial 16S ribosomal RNA". It matches the Rfam family "Bacterial small subunit ribosomal RNA", at positions 355 to 900 of the family's 1533-position model. The record is from RNAcentral.
UAGGGAAUCUUCCACAAUGGACGCAAGUCUGAUGGAGCAACGCCGCGUGAGUGAAGAAGGUUUUCGGACCGUAAAGCUCUGUUGUUGGUGAAGAAGGAUAGAGGUAGUAACUGGCCUUUAUUUGACGGUAAUCAACCAGAAAGUCACGGCUAACUACGUGCCAGCAGCCGCGGUAAUACGUAGGUGGCAAGCGUUGUCCGGAUUUAUUGGGCGUAAAGCGAGCGCAGGCGGAAGAAUAAGUCUGAUGUGAAAGCCCUCGGCUUAACCGAGGAAUUGCAUCGGAAACUGUUUUCUUGAGUGCAGAAGAGGAGAGUAGAACUCCAUGUGUAGCGGUGGAAUGCGUAGAUAUAUGGAAGAAUACCAGUGGCGAAGGCGGCUCUCUGGUCUGCAGACUGACGCUGAGGCUCGAAAGCAUGGGUAGCGAACAGGAUUAGAUACCCUGGUAGUCCAUGCCGUAAACGAUGAGUGCUAAGUGUUGGGAGGCUUCCGCCUCUCAGUGCUGCAGCUAACGCAUUAAGCACUCCGCCUGGGGGAGUACGACCGCAAGGUUGAAAC